Long non-coding RNA from Alosa sapidissima (American shad), 127 nucleotides. RefSeq lists it as uncharacterized. The record is from RefSeq and is a predicted model, not a curated record. The transcript has 2 exons. Lineage: Eukaryota; Metazoa; Chordata; Actinopteri; Clupeiformes; Clupeidae.
CAGCCUACAGCACCCGGAAGCCAGCGCGGCCGCAGCGCGGCGUCCUGAAUGCCUUGGAAUGUCAUGUUCGUGUGUGCGCUGGAAUACUAUGUUUGUGCUAACGUGCUAAUAAAAGGGUGUUUGUGAA